CAGCAAAGACCGCGCUCUCGGAGCGGCGCCAUUUGCAUUACGCUUUAGUUACGCGCGUUCAAGGGGGGGAUCCUGGAGAGCGCACAACACACACACACACACAUAAACCCCUCUCUCUCUCUCUCUCUCACACACACUCUCUCUCACUCACAUGUUCCGAGGGAGGAAGCUCCUGCCUCACAAUCCUUAUCCCAGACUUUGCUUCUCCCACACUCUCUGCGAGAUGAGGCCAUGUUUCAGACUGACAUUAGUUUUGUAUAUGGACAGUUCAUCUGGUUUAAGUGAGGUAAGUCUUCUACACAUGCACCGCAGAUGGCUUAAAUUUGGAUGAUUCACUGACGUAAGCCAUUCUGUGGUGACGAGUGCAGUAUGUCUGCUGAAACCAUAUGCUGUUCUAUCCCACAGCUAUUGCAUUUCAUUUCAUUCCUGGUAAGGAUCUUUUUCAGCUAGUCUAUUACCAGGCAAGAAUGAAUUUGAGUUUGCUCUGAACAAUAUGUGCUACACUUCAAUAAAAUGGAGCAAUGCAGCAAAUCCUUUGAAAAAUAACACGAGAAAGCUCCUUGUUGGUAAGUGCUCUGUGUGUCAGCUCUGCAGUUGUGACGGUAUUGGCAGAGGCUAUUCUAAUGCUCUACAUAUACUGCUGGAAGUGAUAUGUGUUUGAGGUAUUUAAAAGAAAACAGUUCUGUGGUUCUGUUCAUUAAAUCAAAACUCGAAAUGCGAUGCUGUUUUUUUUUCAGCUGAAAGAGCUGUUUGUGUGACAAACUCAUUAAUAACAUUUUAAAGAUGAGUGUCUCUUGAAAGUUCUAAACUUUUAAAGGAUCAGUUGGGAGUGAAGCACAAUUCUAUUGGUGCUCAUGUGUCCAUACUACCUGAAUCCCAAUUUAUACUGCACUUUUCAUGGUGCAUUGGAUGAGACUUGAUGCAGCAAAAAGCUUCUUGCCUGACUAUAAGGUGUAAUAGUUAAUAGUGGCGGUUAAUUGUCUCAUGCUGUUAAAUGUACAGGGAUAUCUCCUGGCAAUGGUGGCCUUUAUUUUGUGGUCAUAAGUCAUUUAUUUAGACCAAUAUUAUUUUUGUAACACUGGCCAGUUUACAGCCUCCUGACUUGUAAGGUUCUAUACAAAUGUAAUUUGUUGUUGUUCCCAGACAAGGGAGGAAUGUCCACAACUGGAAAGCAAGUCUUAAUCAGUGCGUCUGGGCAUCUGUGAGUUUGUGCGUGGAAUGUUUCCAAUUGCACCCUGGUGUUAUGGAGUCUGGCCCAACGUAUAAUUCACAGCAGGGCACUGUAGAGACUUUAUUUGAAGGAGCGCUGCAGUACCUACACUAAAUGUGCCGUCAAACAGAGUUCCUCAUGGGUAUAGAUCCACAGCACAAAGCUGCCUUAAUUCAACACAAAUUUGGCAAUCAAACGUGAGUGGCCACAGGAAUUCCUGGUGUGGGAAGUGGAAAAAUGCACUCUGUGUCAUACGAGUACUUUUAGGAUUAGUCACUUUGUUGGGGGUAGAAUAAAGGGAGCUUUGCUGUUUGGUGUACUUGCCUGACCUGGGAAUAACUUGAUACUGAUACAUAUUGAGUGGGGGAAAAAACCCUGGCUGAUAUGUCCUCUCUCCCCCCCCCCCCCCCCGAGAUACAAUUGACCAAUUGUAACUCUUCUUACUACAGUAAAACUCACAUAAGUCGUAUCGGUUGAGACCAUAACAUUUAAUAUGACUUACCCGAAGUCCAAGUUGUCUCCUGCGAUUCAAUGUUGGUAAGUGGGCACGCAGCUGGUAGGGCGGCAUGCCACGAGAGGUCAGGACGUCGAUUCAAGGCCUCCGGUAAGCGUGGGAAUAAUGGAAGGUAGGGGAGCGGUGUUAUGAGUUAGGAGAUGAGUAAUAUGAGUGGUGUAGAAAAUUCUAAGUGUUUUUGAUAAGAAACUGAAUGGGACUCGGGUGAAUAUACCAUUUAGGUGUUUCCGAUUUAUAAAUAUAAGACUUAUACAGUAUUUAUAUCAGUGAAAUGAGAGAUUCAGAGUACAUUUACCAACUGAGCCGUUGUCAAGCCAACUUCUCCUAAUUUGAACCAUAUAAAUCUGUAUUGCAUUUUCUUUUGAAAUCCCUAAUAAUUGAUUAACAUCUUUUUCUUCUAUUUCAGUCUCUUCCUUGAACUCUGGAGAAUGCUGUGGUUACUAGCUUGUUUUAGCACAGCAGCAUACAUGUGUGUGGCACAGAGAAGUAAUGUGUGAUGAUAGAGCUGUGUAAAUGAUUUUGUAUUAUCCUAAUACAAAAAGACUGAUGUGUCCCCCCUCCCCCCACCCGCCUGCCCCACCACAUACACAAAAAAACGGAACAACAAAUAUAUAUAAAAAGGGGCCACUAAUGCAGCAUCAAAUGGCAAACACUAACACUCUUAUAGAGAAGCCCCUUAUGUGAAAUUAGACAAGAAGAAUGAGACCAAGAAAAUUAACAUGAAGCAGUUGAAUAUUUUAAAUCACAAAUUGCGUUUGCGAAGUCUCAGCUAAUAUUAGCAGAUUAUGUCAUGCUGCAAAUGGAUGUUAAAGGGUACACGUGACAGAGAAAAUCUCAGACAGGAGGUGAUUUUGCGGCUGAGCGGUGAAGAUUGUCAGGACAGAAAGGUCAAAUUGAGAGGAGGCAUGGAAGUCAUCAACUAUCGGAAAAUAGAAUUAUAUUUAUAUCUGUAUUGCCUGUAUUUACUUCACCAAUGGCUGGUCUGCAACAACGAAUAGACGUGGACAGGUAUUUGAAAGACACAAUUUUGGCAAGGUUUCACUUAAUAUUUAUUGAAAACAAGCACCAAUUUAAGAAUAGUCCUGUUAUAUUCCAAAUCAAGAUUUUUUAGUAAUUAUUUUCAGAAUAGAUAUUUCUCCUGAUCAACACUGUUGAAGGUAUGUCUGUGUGUGUGUGUAUGUGUGUGUGUAUGUUAAAAAAAUAAAGUGUUUUAUAUUUUGACCUCAUCGCAAAUCAAUGUUUCAAUCGUUAUAAAUACAAUCUGCAUCAUUAUAGACAUAUACACACACCAACUGCAGUUUGCUUUUAAAACCUUAAUCUUUAAUUUCUUGAUGGUGCAAUCGUUUUAAUGUUUCUGAUGGGUAUGCAGUUCAAAAUUCCAAAACAAUUCAAAAAGUUAUUCCUUUUAAAAUUAAGUCAUAGCCCAAUUCUUAGUGAAGAUUCUAAAACGUGCAAUACAUUUCUACUGAAGAUGAUGAAUAUUGCUGGAUUCCAAAGCUGUUGACAGCCCUCUGAUACUUUGAACUGAGUGUCAGCAGGCUGUUUGAUUGUGAAGUGUAUCCUUGUCAAACCUGUUCUCACUCGAUAGCCACACGCAUGCACUUUUGAUAGCAAUCAGGAGCAGGAACAGUUGCUGAUUUAUUUUUUUUCCUUCCCUCUUGCCCAGAUGCACAAAGGGCAAUUGUACCAUCCCGACUACUUCCCUGCCUGAAAUCUAACUUAUGGUGUAAAUUCAGCAUUGUUUUGGUUUAUGGUGAAAGUUCCUUAGUUUAUUGCAGUGCAGAAUUACUCAAAAUGCUUAAACCAGUUGCAAAAUUAUAUGAAUCUUAACACCACUGAAAUUAGCCAUACUUGCGUCCAAGAAGAUUUACUGUUGCGUAAAUAAUUUAUAUUGAUCAGAAACUGACAAUGGUUAUUUAGUUAGACAAUAGUCACUCUUACCAGAUCACAUUUGUUGCUGUUCAUUUUCAGUUUGAUAAUAUUGUACCACCCUAGAGCUUGGUUUGAAUUAAUUUAUAAUUGAUAAUAAAUGAGGAGUUUGUGCACGAAUUGUCAACUCUUGUGCACUGGGUUAAGUGUAGGCUCUAAGCUACAUUUAUUAAUCCAUUUUUAAUGAUAAUCUGUCUGGAAAUUUUGCACUCGUAAUUUUGUAUACCUGUGUACUUUAGUUGCUUAAAAUUCUAAUGUCAGUUUUGCAAACCUAAUUGGGGGGAGGAUGUUGGGAGAUGUAUAAUUUCCUUAAGCUUUACUUAAUACUAACCCCUUUCUCUCUCUCUGUGUCACACACUCACACAACACUCUGGUUAUUUGACAAAUUAUCUCUUUUGUACCUGCUCUUCUCCCCUUCCAAAGUAAGAUCAGGUCUUAAGCCACUACCCAUGCAUUUAGAAACAUAAUGCCAACUGUUUCUGUAGCACUCUAUUUUCACUACUACAUUAAUUUGUUCAAUCUACUUCAAAGCAUAACAUUCCCUAACAGUUAUUGCUGUAGUUCCACAGCAUUUGUUAUUAUUAACAGCAUUUAUGUGUUUUAAAAAUGUGUUGCAUUGUUUAUCAAUAAAAUUGGCAGUGGAUAUUAGUAAAUUA
This is a long non-coding RNA of Callorhinchus milii (elephant shark), 4309 nucleotides long. RefSeq lists it as uncharacterized. The transcript has 2 exons. NCBI's taxonomy places the organism in Eukaryota, Metazoa, Chordata, Chondrichthyes, Chimaeriformes, Callorhinchidae. The record is from RefSeq and is a predicted model, not a curated record.